RNAcentral lists this ribosomal RNA (468 nucleotides) under uncultured bacterium. RNAcentral's name for it is "partial 16S ribosomal RNA". It matches the Rfam family "Bacterial small subunit ribosomal RNA", at positions 28 to 507 of the family's 1533-position model. The record is from RNAcentral.
GACGAACGCUGGCGGCGUGCUUAACACAUGCAAGUCGAACGGAAAGGCCCUGCUUUUGUGGGGUGCUCGAGUGGCGAACGGGUGAGUAACACGUGAGUAACCUGCCCUUGACUUUGGGAUAACUUCAGGAAACUGGGGCUAAUACCGGAUAGGAGCUCCUGCUGCAUGGUGGGGGUUGGAAAGUUUCGGCGGUUGGGGAUGGACUCGCGGCUUAUCAGCUUGUUGGUGGGGUAGUGGCUUACCAAGGCUUUGACGGGUAGCCGGCCUGAGAGGGUGACCGGCCACAUUGGGACUUAGAUACGGCCCAGACUCCUACGGGAGGCAGAAGUGGGGAAUAUUGCACAAUGGGCGGAAGCCUGAUGCAGCAACGCCGCGUGCGGGAUGACGGCCUUCGGGUUGUAAACCGCUUUCGCCUGUGACGAAGCGUGAGUGGCGGUAAUGGGUAAAGAAGCACCGGCUAACUACGUG